CUCCUCUCUGUAAUCUUCCUUCAUUUUUCCAGUUGUGAAUGUGUUAAUGUGCCAGAAAAAAAUGUGCUACUCCAAACAGCCUGAGAAGUCAAUUAUGUUGGAUUACACAUCAGAAGAAAUCCCACAAGGUCUCGUUAUCCAUGAAAUUAAAACAAAAACUUGAACUUGAUGUAAGUACGUCAUUUUGCUAUUCUACGGUGGCAACUUACCGAGCACAAUGCUUAUCAGAAAUGGUGUCCCAUCUAGAGAUACUCCCUGUGUUCCAAAAUGUAAUCGUUACUAUGAUUUGAUUUUCACUAAAAUAUAAGUAUUUUUUGGUACUGUCCACAGUAGUACUUGUCCCAUCCAUUAGUUAGUACUUCUCAUCCAAAAUUCUUCCCAUUUUAUCCCCAUCUACCCACCAACCCCCCAUCCAUUACUCAUUAAGGGGCGACGUAUUCUUUUCUCUCAACCUUAGUCUCUGCUAAAUAAUUUAUAAAUGUUUAUAUUUUCGGGUGGAGGUGUAGAAGGCAGCGCCUUGGAGAUGCUGCAAGAUUUUAUUGCUGCUCAAAUCUUCACUUGAAUUAGUGCUUCAGAAGAAAAACUUACCAUACUACAAUGAGUGUUGCAAGUUGCAACACAUGUUUUUGAUGGAUAAUUUGUUUUAUAUCAAGUGCAGUCCUCAUAGAUAAGGUAUCUGCAGAGCAUAUAUUUGUGUUUUAAAGUAUAGAUACCAACUAAAGUAACGUCUGAUGGUCCACCAAAAUUUCAUGGGAAUCUUUCAUGCAUUUCACACUGCAAAUUCUGAGACUGGAUCUGAGCGAACUUACCACACACAGAAGGCAUGGAAAGUUCAAAACCAUCUAUGUCAGCUCAAUACGCACAAAGAAAUAGCAAAGCUCAUGCAGGCUUAGUGGCUUAGAGUUUAUGCAUGGAGAUCACCAAAAUAAAC
This 931-nucleotide long non-coding RNA is filed under the name Oryza brachyantha (malo sina). RNAcentral's name for it is "long non-coding RNA (OBRA_LNC001692)". The record is from RNAcentral. Lineage: Eukaryota; Viridiplantae; Streptophyta; Magnoliopsida; Poales; Poaceae.